UACGAAGGGGGCUAGCGUUGCUCGGAAUUACUGGGCGUAAAGCGCACGUAGGCGGUCUUUUAAGUCGGGGGUGAAAUCCUGGAGCUCAACUCCAGAACUGCCUUUGAUACUGAAGAUCUUGAGUUCGGGAGAGGUGAGUGGAACUGCGAGUGUAGAGGUGAAAUUCGUAGAUAUUCGCAAGAACACCAGUGGCGAAGGCGGCUCACUGGCCCGAUACUGACGCUGAGGUGCGAAAGCGUGGGGAGCAAACAGG
This 253-nucleotide ribosomal RNA is filed under the name uncultured bacterium. RNAcentral describes it as "partial 16S ribosomal RNA". It matches the Rfam family "Bacterial small subunit ribosomal RNA", at positions 524 to 776 of the family's 1533-position model. The record is from RNAcentral.